AUGCAGUCGAGGGGUAUAGUAGCAAUACUAGAGACCGGCGCACGGGUGCGUAACGCGUAUGCAAUCUACCUUUUGCAGAGGGAUAGCCCAGAGAAAUUUGGAUUAAUACCUCAUAGUAUAGUGAUACCGCAUGGUGCUACUAUUAAAGUCACAACGGCAAAAGAUGAGCAUGCGUCCCAUUAGCUAGUUGGUAAGGUAACGGCUUACCAAGGCAACGAUGGGUAGGGGUCCUGAGAGGGAGAUCCCCCACACUGGUACUGAGACACGGACCAGACUCCUACGGGAGGCAGCAGUGAGGAAUAUUGGACAAUGGGCGCAAGCCUGAUCCAGCCAUGCCGCGUGCAGGAUGACGGUCCUAUGGAUUGUAAACUGCUUUUAUACGAGAAGAAACACUCCGACGUGUCGGAGCUUGACGGUAUCGUAAGAAUAAGGAUCGGCUAACUCCGUGCCAGCAGCCGCGGUAAUACGGAGGAUCCAAGCGUUAUCCGGAAUCAUUGGGUUUAAAGGGUCCGUAGGCGGAUUUGUAAGUCAGUGGUGAAAUCUCCCCGCUCAACGGGGAAACGGCCAUUGAUACUGCAAGUCUUGAAUUAUUAGGAAGUAACUAGAAUAUGUAGUGUAGCGGUGAAAUGCUUAGAGAUUACAUGGAAUACCAAUUGCGAAGGCAGGUUACUACUAAUGGAUUGACGCUGAUGGACGAAAGCGUGGGUAGCGAACAGGAUUAGAUACCCUGGUAGUCCACGCCGUAAACGAUGGAUACUAGCUGUUGGGA
This 769-nucleotide ribosomal RNA is filed under the name uncultured bacterium. RNAcentral describes it as "bacterial SSU rRNA". It matches the Rfam family "Bacterial small subunit ribosomal RNA", at positions 55 to 828 of the family's 1533-position model. The record is from RNAcentral.